ACGAACGCUGGCGGCGUGCUUAACACAUGCAAGUCGAACGGAAAGGCCCUGCUUUUGUGGGGUGCUCGAGUGGCGAACGGGUGAGUAACACGUGAGUAACCUGCCCUUGACUUUGGGAUAACUUCAGGAAACUGGGGCUAAUACAGGAUAGGAGCUUCUGAUGCAUGGUGGGGGUUGGAAAGUUUCGGCGGUUGGGGAUGGACUCGCGCCUUAUCAGCUUGUUGGUGGGGUAUUGUCUUAGCAAGGCUUUGACGGGUAGUCGGCCUGAGAUGGUGACCCGCCACAUUGUGACUCAGAUACGGCCCAGACUCCUACGCGAGGCAGCAGUGGGGAAUAUUGCACAAUAGGCGCAAGCCUGAUGCAGCAACGCCGCGUGCGGGAUGACGGCCUUCUGGUUGUAAACCGCUUUCGCCUGUGACGAAGCGUGAGUGACGGUAAUGGGUAAAGAAGCACCGGCUAACUACGUG
Molecule: ribosomal RNA, 467 nt
Filed under: uncultured bacterium
Lineage: Bacteria
Description: partial 16S ribosomal RNA
Rfam family: Bacterial small subunit ribosomal RNA
Source: RNAcentral